GAUGAACGCUAGCGGCAGGCUUAACACAUGCAAGUCGAACGAGAACGGAUUAAAGCUUGCUUUAAUUGUCAGCUAAGUGGCGCACGGGUGAGUAAUAUAUAGGUAACGUGCCCUAGAGAGGGGGAUAACAUUUGGAAACGAAUGCUAAUACCCCAUAUGCCUUUAAGUCUUAAGACUGCAAGGGAAAUAUUUAUAGCUCUAGGAUCGGCCUGUACGGUAUCAGUUUGUUGGUGAGGUAAUGGCUCACCAAGACUAUGACGCCUAACUGGUUUGAGAGGAUGAUCAGUCACACUGGAACUGAGACACGGUCCAG
RNAcentral lists this ribosomal RNA (313 nucleotides) under uncultured Arcobacter sp. Its description in RNAcentral is "bacterial SSU rRNA". It matches the Rfam family "Bacterial small subunit ribosomal RNA", at positions 28 to 334 of the family's 1533-position model. The record is from RNAcentral. Lineage: Bacteria; Pseudomonadati; Campylobacterota; Epsilonproteobacteria; Campylobacterales; Arcobacteraceae.